Molecule: long non-coding RNA, 37160 nt
Filed under: Gossypium raimondii (Peruvian cotton)
Lineage: Eukaryota; Viridiplantae; Streptophyta; Magnoliopsida; Malvales; Malvaceae
Description: long non-coding RNA (GRAI_LNC005905)
Source: RNAcentral
AAUGAUUCAAGCUCUGACAAAUUACCUAAAGAUGAUGGGAUAGGACCUAUUAAACAGUUAUGGGAGAGGUUUAGGACAAUAAGUAAAUGAAGCUCACCAAGUAUUUUUGGAAUUUCUCCCCUGAAUUGGUUACUAGAAAGGUCAAUAACCGUCCAAAUGGAUAAUAGUGUUUCAAACUUUAUUUCCAGCCCUUUUGCUGUAACAGAUAAACCAUAAGCAUAAUUCACCCAAUCUGGACCAAAUGCAUCUUUCGUGGGCUUUACUUCUCUCAUGUAAUUUGGUUCAACUUUCUUUCCAUACUCAUCUCUAAUGGCAUGCAUAUGCUCAAAAAAAGGAGUAGGUAAGUAGCCACUAAAAUUAUUGUGAGAAAGAUCAAUGAUUCGCAAUUUAGUUAAAGAAACUGUAAUAUCAAAGCUCUCUAUUUGGCCGUAAAAUCUAUUCGACCUCAAAAUAAGAACUUGCAGCUGAUCCAAAUUUCCUAACCAACUUGGGAAAGUGUCAUUCAAAUUGUUGUUUCCAACAUUGAGAAGAUUUAAACCUUUGCAAUUACCCAAAGAUCGUGGGAGUGACCCUUCUAAUUCAUUGUUGUUGAUGUGUAAACUUUUUAACAUGCAACCUUUAGCAAAAUUUUCUGGUAUUUGACCAUGAAAAUUAUUAUUCCCUAGAUAAACUGUUGUGAGAGAAGAACUCAAGUUUCCGAUGCACUUUGGAAUUGUACCCUCCCAAUUAUUCCCAUCUAAAGAAAUACCCAUAAGGGAAGUCAAAUUGCAUAUUGAAGAAGGGAUUUCUCCAAUUAAGUUAUUAGCUGAAACUGCAUACCAUUGCAAUAAAGGUGGUGGUGUUGGAAUUCGACCUUAGAGAUAAAAUUGAAAAUGAGAUAGAAUUAGGAGUAUGAAGAUUCUUUGGAAUAUAAAUUAUAAAAUAACUAUAUUUAUGAUGUAUUACAUGCAUGAUUAAUUUACUACACUACUUCUAACCAUUUUAAGAUGCAUCACAACAACUUUUAAGUUGCAAUCUAUUGAAGGAAAUUACUACUAUCUUCCAGAGUAACAAGUAAAAAGGGAUUGCAUAAAUGUAUAAAAAGUAGAAGAAAAAAAGAGAUCAAACUAUACCUAAUAAUUUAUUAUAGAAGAGGUAAUCAUUUAAUAUAUUACUUAUAUUUCAGUUUUUAGUGUUUAUUAUUAUUUUUGGUAUAUUUAUGUAUAUUUUAUAAUUUAUUAUUGGGGUUCGCAGUUCUUAUUGUCAAGAAUAUCAUCUCUAAGACUUGAAUCUUGUUCUCUCCUUAAAAGAACAAUGUGUCUUGCUAUUACACCGAACAUUUAUUAGUGUAAUAUUUAUUAUGACUACAAAUAAUUUUAACUAUCUUUUUAUGAAACUUUAAGUUAGAGGUCAAAUAAAAAAGCAAAUUAAUUGAUAUAGUGUUUAUCAUUUGAAGUAAAGUUAUAAUAUUUUUUCUUCACAAUUGAGUUAUUUUUGUGUUUAAAAUUUUUAUAAGAUUGAGAGUUAAUUGAGAUUGUAGCCUCAAAAUUGGUACUAUAAAAGUCAUUUUUAUGAGAAUACUUUUCUAUUUAACAAUGAUUGUCAAAUUAAUAUACUUUGUUUCUCUCAUAAUAUAAAAUAUGUCCUGAGCAUAAAUUAAUUAAAGAAAUAAAUAAUAAGGCAAAUAAAAAGGGUAAAACUACGUCUAAAUUAUAAUUCAGAAUAUAAAUUAAUUAAUGUAAAAUUUAAAUUUAUUUAAAUCAUUAUUAUUAUCAAAUAAAUUCUCUUAAUAAAAUACUUUUAGUGAAAUUGGAAAUCUUACUUAUAAAUAAUAAGAAAUUUUGCUAUGAGCAAAUAGAAAAUUAGUCAAUAUUGUUAAUCAUUUUCAUUAAUUUAAGAGAUUUUGCAUGCUUAUUCUUAUAUAUAUAUAUAUAUAUAUAUAUAUAUUAUAGAUGUAGAUUAUAAAUUGUAGACAAAUAAUUUGGUUGGGUUAGCUUACAAGACAAGCUUCUAUAUGCUCGCGAUGAGAGGUGUUAGGUCAAGUACGUGGUCCAUGAACAUGUGUUAAGUCUAGAACAAGCUACGUGCUAGCAUGCAUGAAGCUUGUCUAAGAUGUCAUUUCAGUGAAUAGUAGCCGUAUCAUAUAAAUACUAAGUCUUACCCCCAUACAAGACACAAAGAGAAAAUACUCAACAAUUUGGUGCAGUAAGCGUAGUCAAACUUUCGGUCGACAGAGUUUCAGCUUGUAACAAUCAAAAUGGCUCACCCAAAUGAAAAUUUCCCCAUCAAUUUUUUGUCAGGAUAAGUUGGAGCUUCUAGUGCUAACAGUCAACCCAACAAGUCAAAUUUAUUUGCCGGGUGGUUUGCUAAUCGGUCGAAAAAUUUGGGUAACAUGGCUUAUGUAGGAGCUUCGAAUUCUUUGACUUAAAAUUUCCUUUUGGCCAAAGAUUGUCAUUCCCCUCUAGUUAGGAAGCAUCACCAGAGCAAUUUUUUACUAUUCAGGAGUUGAUAAAGAUGAUGAAGAAACAAAUGACCCUGUAAAACUUUAGAUUUGAACAACAAUAGAUGUUUUAGCAAGAGUUGUUAUAUUCGAACGAGGAGCUCAGAAGGAAGGUGUAGUUUGAUAAUUUUGAUUUUCAUAACAAUGCCACCAUGCAAGAAGAAGGUUUUGGUAUGCAUGCAAAAUCGUGGUAGAGUGAGAUGGAUGCUUUGUGAAGAGAUAUAAGGGCUUUACUUCUUGAAUCUCAAGAUAAGGAUUGACUCAUUUAUUCUAAUAAUCCACUGGCUCUUAAGGUGGAACCAUGAGCUUGCCAACUAUUUUUAAGGUUUCGAAGGAUAUGUUUGAAGGAAGAAGGGACCUAUGAGUGCAUCCCAUGCAGUAUAAUAAUUAUAUGAAUGUGCUGGGAGCUUUUGAUUCUGCGAAGUGCAAGGCUUUUUUGAAAACACUCAAUGGGGUGUGAAGGAUUGGUACUUAUCUUUUCACCAGGGCUCCAUUCGUAGUUUCUCUCAGUUGGGUUAGAUGUUCUCGGGACGAUUUAUGGCACAUAGGACAAUUAUUAGCACUCCUAUAGGUCUGAUGUCUGUGAAGCAAAGAGAGGGAAAAACUUUGCAGGAUUAUGUAAAGUAUUUCCAAUCAAUGACACUAAAUACUAAGAACCUCAAAGAUCAGUGGGCCAUUGAUUCUUUAAUUAUGGGUGUAAAAUAUGAGCAUAUGCAGUAUUCUUUCACUAACCAUAGGCCUCAAAGUUUGGUGAAUUUAUAUGAGAGGGACCACAAGUUCGUAGAGGUAGAAGAAAUAAAAAGAGCAGCUUGUGGGACAUUCCAAAGAGAUGAGAGGAAUUUUAGAAACAUGGAUAGAGGUCGCAGUUGACAUGGUCUACUUCCUUAGGCUUUGCGUGUACAAAAUAGAGGACAGCAAAAAAGGCAAACGCAGAGCAAGACGGCUAGAACAUUCCAAAGAUCCAAACUUGAACAUACAUGAAGGUAUGUUCCUCAAAGUAAAUUCGAAUCUUAUACCCCCUUGAAUGUUAUGCGUACCUAUAUUUUGAAUUAGGUGAAGAGUCUAGGUAUUUUACUGAGCCUUCCACCUAUGAGGCAUAGUGUUAGGAGGUUAGGUUCAUGGGACAGAUGUGCUUUCCACAACGACAGGGAGUAUAAAACUGAUAAUUGCUUUUCUCUGAAGGAUGCUAUUAGAAAAGUAUUGAGAAAUGGCGAACUGGAGGAUUUUGCGGCUCAAAAUACUACCUAGUAGGGGUGGAGUUUGCGUGCUGAGGCGAAAGGUAAGUAAUAUUAUAUUGUUGAUAGCAUUAUACAAAACAAAAAGUCACAAAAGUGAGAGAAAACUCAGUCAUCAAUGCACCAAAACUCGUUAAGUUGAUCAUAGUUGAUAGUAUUAUAUUGUAUCUUCUUACAUGGAGAGAAAAGGUAGGUGAGAGAGGGAGACAAAAGACGGUGAGCUUGGAUGGGCCAUUAAGGGGAAAGAGAGGGAACAAUGUCAUGUGCCUAAGUAUUUCUAGUGUUUGAAUCAUUUUGAGUCAUAUCUUUCUUUGAAUUUUUACAAGCUUAGAAGACCAAUGUGACUUAAGUGUUCUCUAUGCAUAAUCUUCCAAAAUUGCUAACAGUUAUACUUAAUGAAUAUUUGUUGAUUCACAUGAUUGUGUCUACUAUAUAUCUAUUUGAUUUAUGUUAACGGUGAUAUUGUUAAACAUUUGGUCAUGUGAAUUAUUUCUAGUUUGUUAGUAAUGUAAAUUUGUAAACUAGUUCCUAUUUACUUUAAAAAGUUUCCAAGACAUUAAACUAUCAAGAUUAAGUUACAUGUAUGAUAAGAAUUAUUAUACCUUUAAUAGUUGAUAACAACCUUCAUAGUAGUAAUAAAAUCCAAGGGACGUCUUCUUAUUGCAUGCUAUGUGUCUAGACUUGGUUUGCUUGAGGACAAAUGAAAAGUUAAGUGUGAGGGAGUUUAGGUUUGAGGUUCUUAUUUACAUCCAUAUUCACUAAAUCUAGCUUGUUUAAAGAAAGGAACCAAGUCAAAAAUUUUUAUUUUGCAUUUUUUUACAACUAAAAUUUUCUUUAUGUUGUUAUGUUUAUUUUAAUCAUAUGUUUACAUUGCUUGGGAAUUACAAGCAAUGACUUAAGUGUGGAGGAGUUUGAUCUACCGUAAUUUGGUGUAGUAGAUUAAACUAGUUUUCGUACUUAAAGAGCUUGGAUAUGAGCAUUUUGGUUAUGCUCUAGUUAGUUUUUGUAUUUUAAUUUUAAUUCAAUAAAAAAGUGUAAAUUGAGUCUUUUUAUGAUCUUAGGGACCGAAUGAGGCCUAAAGGUUGGCUAACAUGCUUAGUAAGUGUGUAGGACACCAUUCAAAGGCAUAGGAAAUCGAGGUUGGUCGCCAUGUUGAAACAUGGGAAUCCAAUGUCGCAACAUAGAGGAUAUAGUGCCAAUAUUCCAAGAUUGUCUUUAAUGUUGCAACAUAGACAAUGGAUGCCGCAACACCCCCCUAAAGCUGAAUAUGGGAAUCAAGUAUACUAUCUUCGAUGCUACGACAUAGGCACUGGGUGUUGCAACACCAACUCUGCAUGGGAACAAAUUACGAGCUGAGGGCAUUUUGGUCCAUACAAUAAAAAUUAACACGAAAGCAUCAACCGACCUAGUGUUAAGGACGAUGACCACCCCUAACUUUAUAAAUAGACUCAUUAGAUGUUUAAAAAAUAAUUUUAGGGAGACAAAAAUUAUUAUUAGGUUUUUAUUCUGUUAUAAGUUUUUACUUACUUAUUUGAUGUUCUUGUAAUCGAAAGGUCCUAUUCCAAAGUGAGAUUCUCCCGAGGGGAGAUUGUUUCGAAGCCACACUUUCAUCGAUAAAUCCAUGAGCAUCUCUUUUCCUUUAUUCUAUUCUUUAUAUCUCUUUCUUUAACAUUGUUUAAUUGAAUGUUUGUGUAAAGUUUAGAUAUCACUAUUAACAGAGUAUUUGGAUUAUAGAGGAUAGUUUAGGUAUCACCAUAAACAAAAAAAAAAUUCAGAUACGUGAAGAAAAAUGACAUAAUUUAAGUACUAAUUUGUGGGUUAAGUCUUAUUUUUUAUAUAAGUAACAACUAUUAAUUUGAGAGUGCUUCUAUCUUUUUAUACAAAAUAUUUUCAUUAAAAAAUAAUAUAUACACAAUAAUAUUCAUAACUUUUUCUUGAAUGAAAUAAUAUUCAUAACUUCAAUUUUAUUUGGAAAAAAGUGUACAUAAAUAAUAUUUGCCAUGUAUACACAUGGAUGAAGUGUAUAAAUGGAUAAUCUAUUUCAGAACAUCUAACCUUUAUAGAUGCAUGAGAAUGACUCUAAUUGAUUCUUAUGGUGUUACAAAUUUCUUAGCUAAAAAAAUAUAAAUAUAAAAUGAAAAAUAUGAGAUUAUAAAUAGAUGUAAAUUUCAUCAAAAUCUUGAUAUUUUCUUAUGAGUUAACAUUUUUGAAACUUUUUCUUGAUAUCGACUUUUUAUUUAAAAACGAAAAUGGGAGUCACCACCAAUAAUUUUUUAUAAGGUGUGAUCGGAUCACCUCGUAAAUUGAUCGCUUUAAUAAACGGUUUGAUUUACUAAAACAAAGAUUUUUGGUCUACAAUAUUUAUAACUUCAACUUUAUUUGGAAGAAAAAUUGGAAAUAAAUAACAUUUGCUAUACACAUGAAUGGAGUGUAUAAAAUGAAUGAUUAAUUUAUUUCGCAACAUCUAACCCUUUGUUAGUUGCAUGAAAAAGACUAAUUCCUUCGUAUAGCGUUAUGCAAUUCUUAGCUGAAAUUUUAAAUUUAAAAUGAAAAAUAUAAAAUUAUAAAUAGUCAUGAGUUAACAUUUUUGAAACCUAAAUUAUAGCAUAAUGUGUAGUUUUUUCUAUCAUUAUAAAUUAUGUUAAAUUUUGUUAAAUGUAGUAAUUUGCAAUUCAAAUUAAUGAUAUUUUUCUUAUUCUUAUGUUUUUCUAAUUUCAAUUAAAGGAUUAAAUGUGUAAUUAAUUGUUUUUAAGCCAAAAGUCUUAUAGUAAAAAGUUAAAAGAUUGUAAAGUUAUUUAGUAAUAUACAACAAGAUUCUAUUAAAGUAUUAUAACAGUAACAACAAAAGGGAAAAUAAAGAUGAUAUUAUACCUGUUAAGUUGUUAUCAAAAAGACUGAUCAUCAAGAGAGAAGUAAGGUUUCCAAUAACCGGUGGAAUUUCACCUAAAACAUAUAAUUAAAAUCAUUAAAAUUUACUUACAGAUCUUAAAAACACAUGAUACUAUUGCAUACUAGAGGUGAUCAUGGGUUGGGCGGCCUGGCCCGGCCCGACGGCUCUCUCGAAAUAUGGGAGGGUUCGAGUAAAAAUUUAGGCCCGAAAUAUGGGUUUGGGUAAAAACUGAAGUCUAUUUAAAAAACGGGCUAGGUUUCGGGCAAAACUUUUUUGGCUCGGGCCCAGCCCAGCCCAAAUAUAUAAUAAAUAUAUAUUUUAUUUUUAAAAUACAUUUUCUGUUUCCCAUUAGACAUUUAGUAUUUAUAUAAUAUAUAUUUUAAUUUUAAAGUAUUUUUAAAAUACUUUUUAUUUUUAUUUUUAAAAUACAAUUUUGAUGUUUAUUUAAAAAAAUAGGCCGGCUAGGAUUGGACUUAGGAAUUUUUUCCCGGGCCAGGCCUGGACAAAAUUUUAGGCUCAUAUUUCGGGCCGGGCCGAGCCCGGGCCUACGACGCGGCCAAAAAUUUUUUUUGGGCCCGACCUGACCCAUGAUCACCUUUAUUGCAUACAAUAUGUUUCCCUAAACUGCUUAUUAUUUAUCUCUCGCCACAAAUUAUCAAAAACACAUUUUCAUUUUAAGCCAAACAUUUAUAAUAGUGAUAAGCGCGGUAUUGAUUAAUAAUAUAUAACAACUAAAAAGGGAUUGCAUAAAUGUAACAACAAAAAGAAAAAAAAAUGAUAUUAUACCUGAUAAGUUGUUAUAAGAAAAAUUAAUAGCUUCAAGAGUGGUCAAGUUUCCAAUAGUUGAUGGGAUUUCACCUAAAAAUAUAAAUAAAUGGGUCAAAAUAAUCGACGGAAUUUCACCUAAAAUAUAAUCAAGAUGAUAUUUUACCUGUAAAGUAGUUAAGACCAAGAUCGAUCUCCGUGAGAGAAAUAAGGUUUCCGAUAAUUGACGGAAUUUCACCUAAAAUAUAUAAUUAAAAUUAUCAAUUUAUUUCACAAAAAAAACUAAAAUUUAUUAAUUAUUUUUAUAAUAAACCUUAAAAUCGUCAAAAUCAAAGCUACUUCAUGGUUGUAUUUUGUGAGGCUGUGGGAGUUGUGUAAAGAAGAGAAAGAAACAAUAACAGUAGGUGGUGUUACCAACGCAGGUAAGAAUAAGUUUCUCUGUAAUCAAAGCUACAACUCAUGUACUCUAUUUCUUUCCUAUUCAAUAAUAUCAACUAUGGCUUAGCAACAACUAAAUCAAGACAUAAACAAUAAGGCAAAUCUAAAAGGUAGAAGGAAUAGCUAAUUAGUAGUGUGUGAUUCAAAAGGGUAUAAAGUAGGUCCAAAUUAGUUCAGAACAUAAAUUCAGAACAUUGUUUCCAAAAGGGUAAGAAAUAGGUCCAAAUUAUAAUUCAGAACAUAAAUUAAAUUUUAAUGUAAAAUUUAAAUAAAAUUUAAAAUUCUUUUAUUAUCAAAUAAAUUUCUUAAUAAAAUUCUUUUAUUAUCAAAUAAAAUUCUUAAUGAAAAAAUAAAACAUCUAAAAAUAUAUGUCUUAUACCAAGAUUCUUAUAUUUUUCUAAUAUGUCACUUUAGUUAAUUAAAGCAAGAACAAAUAAAGUUAUGGAUGAACAAAUAUGGGAAUCAAAGAAAAAUGAUGGAUCAAAAGGGACGAAUAAGCUAAUUUCUGCCAUAAGGUAGAUGGUGAACUUAGGAUGUGGAGUUCCAAUAAAUACCUAAACAUACCUAAACUUUUGGCAAUUCAAAUAGAUUAUACUAAUUUUUAAUAACAAAAUGGAGAAUAAAAGAAACAUGAAAUUAUACCUGUCAAUUUGUUAUUGCUAAGAUAAAGUAUUUUGAGAGAAGUCAAGUUUUCAAUAACAAGAGGAAUUUCACCUGAAACAUAUAAUUAAAUCAGUUAAUAUUUGUAAAUAUUUUCCUAGCAAAACCUUAAUUUAUUUGUUGAGCAUAUUAGUGUCUGUUUGAUUUACCUAUUUUUUAAUAUGCAAGUUUUGUUUAGUUUUAUAGUAUUACGACAACCCAAAAAUAUUUUAAUUACAAUACUCAAAUUUAUAGUUGAAAUGAUGAUGAAAAUUAGAUGAAAAUUUAAAUUUAAAAUGAAAAAAAUAAAAUUAUAAAUAGAUAUAAAUUUUCAUCUAAAACUUGACAUUUUUGAAACCUAAAUUAUAGCAUAAUGUGUAGUUUUUUCUAUCAUUAUAAAUUAUGUUAAAUUUGGUUGAAUGUAGUGGUGCCAACGAGUUUAAUAUUCAAAUCAUCAUAUUGAUAUACUGAAUUUAAGUAAUUUGCAAUUCAAAUUAUUGAUAUUUUUCUUAUUCUUAUAUUUUUCUAAUUUUAAAGUAGUUAAAGGAUUAAAUGUGUAAUUAAUUGUUUUUAAGCCAAAAGUAUUAUAGUAAUAUAAAAAGAAAAUAUGAGUAUAUAAAGAAAAUAAAAACAUAAAAAUGUUUUAAAAAGUUCUUAUUAGUACUUAUGAUAACCCAAAAAUAUUUUAAUUAUAAUACUCAAAUUUGAGUGUAGUGGUGCAAACCAGGUUUAAUUACUUCAUAACAUCUUACAUUUUCUAAAUGCAUUAUAAUGCUCUAAGGUUUUAAUCUUUUAAGGUAACUUUUAUUUUAAUUACUUAAAAAGAUUGAAUAAAUUUAAUAACAAAAAGGAGAAUGAAAGAAACAUGAAAUUGUACCUGUUAAUUUGUUAUUACCAAAAGAAAGCACUCGAAGAGAAGUCAAGUUUCCAAUAACAAGAGGAAUUUCACCUGAAAUAUAUAAUUAAAUCAGUUAAUAUUUGUAAAUAUUUUCCUAGCAAACCCUUAAUUUAUUUGUUGAACAUAUUAAUGUCUGUUUGAUUUACCUAUUUUUAAAUAUGCAAGUUUUGUUUAGUUUUAUAGUAUUAUGGCAACCCAAAAAUAUUUUAAUUACAAUACUCAAAUUUAUAGUUGAAAUGAUGAUGAUAAUUAGAUGAAAAUUUAAAUUUAAAAUGAAAAUUAUAAAAUUAUAAAAAGAUAUAAAAUUUCAUCUAAAACUUGACAUUUUUGAAACCUAAAUUAUAGCAUAAUGUGUAAUUUUUUUCUAUCAUUAUAAAUUAUGUUAAAUUUGGUUGAAUGUAGUGGUGCCAACGAGUUUAAUAUUCAAAUCAUCAUAUUGAUAUACUGAAUUUAAGUAAUUUGCAAUUCAAAUUAUUGAUAUUUUUCUUAUUCUUAUAUUUUUCUAAUUUCAAAGUAGUUAAAGGAUUAAAUGUGUAAUUAAUUGUUUUUAAGCCAAAAGUUAUAAUAGUAAUAUAAAAAGAAAAUAUAAGUAUAUAAAGAAUAUAAAAACAUAAAAAUGUAGAGCAAUAUAAAACGAUGUUUCAAAAAAGCACUUAUUAGUAGUUAUGAGAACCAAAAAUAUUUUAAUUAUAAUACUCAAAUUUGAGUGUAGUGGUGCAAACCAGGUUUAAUUACUUCAUAACAUCUUACAUUUUCUAAAUGCAUUAUAAUGACUUUAAGGUUUUAAUCUUUUAAGGUAGCUAUUAUUUUAAUUACUUAAAAAGAUUGUAUAAAUUUAAUAACAAAAAGGAGAAUAAAAGAAACAUGAAAUUAUACCUGUCAAUUUGUUAUAGCUAAGAUAAAGCUCUCGAAGAGAAGUUAAGUUUCCAAUAACAAGAGGAAAUUCACCUGAAAUAUAUAAUUAAAUUUCUACCAUAAGGUUUUGUAUGUAGGUAUAAGGCAAAUCAUAAGGAGAGGAAUAACUGAAUUUAAUAAAUUUUAAUCAUUCUUCAAUAUCUUUAAAAUUUUCAUUCCAAGGAUGUAGGCACAACAUCCCUUGAUUAUAAUGUAAAAUUUCCAAUUUCCACAGGGAUACUUCCACCCAAAGAGUUGUUAUAGAAUGAUAAAAAUGUUAACUCCUUGAUUAAACUAUUUGGAAUUCUACCCGAAAUCUUAUCGCCUCUCAACUUUAAGACUUGCAAUUUAGAUAGGUUAUCAAAUAUUUUUAAUGGUAGAUGACCUACAACGAUAAUAUUGUUACCUAGUUUUGACAUUUCUAGUUUUAAGAAAUUGCUUAGGGUAGAUAGGGAUAACACCAGUGAAGUUGUUACUAUACAAAUACAAGCUUUUAAAUUUCAGAAAUUAUUGUUACCAAAGUUGAAAUAUUCUAACCGAUGCAAACUAGUGUACUCAAUGGGUAAACAAACAUAGAAACUAUUGUUACAUAUGUUGAGUUUGGCAAGGAAAGAAGAUUUCCAGUUGAGAUGGUAUGGUGUUUGUGAAAUCCAUACCUAAUGCAUCAAGAGUUGUGAUGUUUGAAUUUAUAAGUAAAAGUAAUCUAUGAGAUUUUAGUGCUAUAAGGUUGAUUUGAGUAACGGUGAAAUUAGGUAGGGGAUAAGGCUAUUCAGAGAGGAGGGAAAUAGCUGAGUGUAAUACUUAUAUCAUGUUCAAAAUUCUACAAAUACUUUGAUUCUAUGGAUUAAGGCAUAGAACCUGACCAUUUGAGAAAGAAUUAGCCACAAUUAUUGGGCUACAACCCCAAAACAGGGGACGCCUUAACAUACCCACAACUAAUGUUCAAUAUUCUAAUGUUCAAUAUUCUAUAAUAUAUAUAUAUAUAUAUAUAUAUAUAUAUAUUAGAUUUUAUGUGGAUUCUUUAAAGUUCAAUAUUCAAAUUAUUCAGAUUUCCAUCAUCAAAGUUGAAUAGUUUGUAAUUCAAAUUAUUGCUCUCUUUUUACUUGUACCAAUAUUUCCUAUAUUUUUCUUAUGUUAAAAUAGUCAAAGUAUUAAAUAUAUAAUUAAUUGGAGAGAAGUCAAAAGCUAAUUAAUAAUAUAUAGGGAUUGCAUAAAUGUAACAACAAAAAGAGAAAAAAUGAUAUUAUACCUGAUAAGUUAUUAUAAGCAAGAUCAAUAACUUUGAGAGUGGUCAAGUUUCCAAUAGUUGAUGGAAUUUUACCUAAAAAUAUAAAGAAAUUGGUCAAAAUAGCUUGGUGCUAGAAUUAUGUUAUCUUUGUGUGUGUACUUGUUUUUAAGCCAAAAGUAUUAUAGUAAGAAGUUAAAAGAUUGUAAUUAAUUAGUAAUAUAUAGCACCUGGUGGAGGAGGGAAAAUACCAAAAUGAGCUUUAUAAAAUGCAGUGUUGCGGGAACAUAGAAAGUUGACAUCAAUGAGUCUCUCAACUCCACAAGUGUUUGCGCAAAAAUAAAAACUAACAAUAUUUAAGCACAUGAAAUGCAAUGAAAACAAGCAAACAAACAACAGUUCUCAAGAAACAAAGUAAAUGCAACCUAAAAAAAGUUUGGUUCUGCUAGCACUGAACUUAGUGGUUAUUGUUGAUGGAAAUUAGAUAAAAAUGAAUGAAACAAUAACCAGACAUUGUUUACCUUUGAAAUGGUUGAUACCAAGAUGCAAAGUCUUGAGCAAAGUCAAAUUUCCAAUUUCUGUAGGUAUAUUUCCCUCCAAGGAGUUGUUAAACAAUGAUAAAAACUUCAGCUCUUUGCAUUUGAAUAAACUAUUUGGAAUUCUACCCGAAAUUUGAUUCCCACCCAAGCUCAACAUUUCUAGUUUUGACAAAUUGCUUAGAGUAGAUGGGAUAACACCAAUGAAGUUGUUAAGGUACAGAGACAAUGUUUGAAGUUUACUGAAGCAACCAAACCAUAAUGGGAUUUUUCCAUUGAAGCUAUUGUUACCAAAGUCUAAAUAUUUCAUCCGACGCAAAUUAGUUAACUCAACGGGUAAAGAGCCUUGGAAACUAUUUUGAUGAAUAUCGAGCCAAGCAAGGAAAGAUAGAUUUCCCAAUUGAGAAGAAAUGGUGCCUAUGAGAUCCAUGCUUGACAAAUUCAGAGCAGUGACUCUAUAGUGUUUAGAUCCACAUGUGACACCAAUCCAGCUACAAACGGAGGUAGAAGUAGACCAAUUGGUUGUCAAGAAAUUGUGAGGAUCAUGAGUUAUAUGAGAUUUGAGUGCUAGAAGAGCAGAUUGAUCAACGGUGAUGCUAGAAUAUUUUGCAGACAAAAUAACCCCAAAGGUUGCAAAUAGCAGCCCAAACAUAAACGGAGGGAGGAAGCUUGGUUUUGCCAUAAGGGUGGAUAUGGGUGUAAGGCGCAUCAUAAGGAGAGAAACAACCGAGUUUAAUACUUUCCUAAUGUUAGUUCAAUACUUCGUAAGUUUAUAGUAAUUCCAACUGCGAGAUGAUCAAAAAUUCCAAUUGGCAAUUGGAAUAUGAGAUACGAUGUUUAUGUUCUUUUUCAUUUUUAAAUAUAAUAAAGGCGAAAUUGACAGAAGGGAAAACUUUCUCCUUGGUUUAAAAGUCCAGAUAUCAAUUACAAGACAUAAAAAACAAAGACAAGUAUUGGGGGCCAGUAGAUGAUAGUGAGUGACACUAUUUGAUCUAGUCUAAUUAUUACAACAUGUUUGAUUGAAACUAUUUUGUAAGCUCUGAUUAAAUAAAUAUUGAGAGGAAAAAACUUAAAAUUUCUUCUUUUCCUUAGCUAUAAAAUUGAAUUUCUAGUUUGGAUUACAUGCCUUUGGUUCUCAUCUCUAGUUAUGUAAGGCAGAGUCGCUGUUAGUUGGAUGGACCUACAUUGAAAACAUGAAUUGAAAAGAUAAGUAAUAGAAACUUUGUCAUAUUUAGACAAAUAUCAACCACAUCUUUAUUAACUUUUUACAUUUCUUAUCCCAAUAUUCAAAACCAAACAAUACAUUCAUUGCAUGUUCCUUUUCCCAAAUAUCAUUUUAUUUAAUGUCAUUAGACAUUACUCUGUUCUUUUUUCUUUGUGAUAAAAAUUAUUAAACAAAAAAUUAUUACAAAUGUUGUAGGAAUCUAUCCUUUGAGAUUGUUUGAUUCUAGUUUUUGACAAAUUGCUCAAAGUUGGUGGGAUAAAACAAGUGAAUUUGAUGGUGUUCGGAAACAAGCUUCGAUGUUUAGUGAGAUCAAAAUUUGUUGGCAAAUUAAAUUCCUCAAUGGGUAAAUAUCCAUGGAAGUUACUGUCCCAGAGUGGGGCUGGACUUGGAUGGUGUCUGCGAGACUCAUUUUUAUCAAAUUCAAAGCAGUGGCAGUAAUACCGAUUAAAUUACAACUAGAAAUAAAAACAGAUCAGUUGGCUUGGUUGCCAAGAGGUUUCGAGGGUCAUGCUUGUUCCCUAUCAUCCCAAGUACUACUAAGUCAGUACCCCUCUAAAUGGGGAGAACUUUGUUGAUCUUUCAUUGGUUUAGAAGUCCAAAUACCAAUUGCAAGGCAUCAAAACAACAAAGACAAUAUUGGGGACCAGCUGAAGAGAGUGAGUGACACGGUUUGAUUUAGAGUCUCAUGAUUGCAACAUGUUUGAUCGUGAUCCUCAACUUUGAUUGUAAUGUCUAACAAAAGAAAUACCCAGAUGAGAAGACCUUUUUUCUAUAAAAUCUAAAUUUCUAGUUUUGAAGACAUGUGGUUCUCAUCUCUUACUUGUUCUGCACGGCUAAGUCGCAGUUGCUUCGAUGGACCUAUGUUGGGGAACAUGAAUUGAAAAAAAUGCCAACAAGUAAUAGAAACUUUGUAAUAUUCAGAUAGAUCAAAUUAAGCUUUUUGUGGACCAUUCUCAAAUAAUUAAUUUGGCAAUCCUGAAUCUAACAAUCUAACCAUUGAGUUUAACAGUAUAAUUAUAAUUGCCUUGCAUUUAAAAUUUUGAAUUGAUCUAAUACCUCUAUCAUUUGGGUCCAAAACUUUGUUUAUUUCAUAUAUAUUAUAUAAAGCAAAGUUUUUAAAUAUUUUUGAACGUAACUAAGUAAGCAUGUUUCUUCUACCGCGAGUCAAAACUUUGCAGCAAUUUUAGCCAUUUCAUACACUAUAUAUCAUUAUAUUCUUACCUUAAUUAAAGCAUAAUAAUAUAUAUUUUCAUAAAUUUUUAAAAAUAUCAUAAAUUUCCAUUGGGAAUUUUGUUGGUGUAUUCUAAAUUACAUAAUAAUAAGAAAUAUGAAAGAUUUCCAUAUAUUCUCGCCUUUUAGUAUAAGUAAUAAUAAAAAUUUUUGUUGAUUCACCUUUAUUAUGAAAAUAAAAAUAAAAAUAAAAAAUUACAAAAUUAGAACCGUAAAUCAAUUUUGGUUUAAAAUUUUAAACCUACAUAUUAAAGAUAUCCUAACAAAUUUACUUUAUAAGAGCACAGUUUAUGGAAUAAUUUUUAUAUCCAAUCAAAGGCCUUUCAUUCUUAUAAAUAUCGGAAAUUACAAAGUUAAUCUUUGUGUAGAAAAUCUGAUAGGUAAGUAGCAUAGCAUCCAUCUAAUAGAUUAGGAAAUCUGUAGUCUUGAGAUGGAAUAGAUUUUACGGUCACAUUGGCAACCUUAAAUUAUAAUCUUCUUUGAUCUCGUUUGCAUAACAUCCAUCUAAUUUUGAGAAAUCUGCACUUUUAAUUUCAAAAUUGUAAUUAAAUAGGUUUAUCCAAUUAAAUAAUAAUAAUAUAUGGCUAUGGUGAUGUCUAUAAUUUCAUAAAAUAAUUACUCUAAUCUAAUCCAUGUCUCUUCCUUUCUGAGUUUAUCAAGCAAUAAAUUCCCUUCGAUUUCACCUAACUUGUUAUAAUAAUGUUUUCUCAAAUUAGUUAAAGAAGAAAAUUUAUGAUGUUAUACUUAAAUUGAAUCUUUCAAUUUAUUAGGAAUUGAUUUUAAAUUAGAAAGAUCAAAAUUUAAGUAGAAUCACUUAGGGAUGCUAGUGGGGCAAGUUUUGCGGGUCCCGCCCUACUUCGUGCUCAAUUGACAGUAGGAUGGGGACAAAAAUUAAACCCGUUGUGAGUGGUGGGGUAGGCGUGGGUAUGACCUUGUACCUACCUCAUCCCCACCUACCCCAUCCCAUCCCGAAUAAUAUAAUAAACAUAUUUAAAAAAAACAUUUAUAUAAAAUUAAUUUAAUAAUUAUUUUAAUAGUAUUUAAUUUUUGCUCUUGUGUUGCAUUUGAAGAUAUUUAUGAUGUAUUUGAGAUAUUGUUUGUAUUUUGAUAUUAUGUAAUGACUUUAUUUUUUGAAUUUUUAAACUUGAAAUUAUAUCUUAUUUAAAAAAUUAAUGGUGGUAACGACUUACUUUUUUUAAAAAAAUAGUGACAGUUAGAAUAAUGUCACAUAUGUGGUGGGAGUUUGGAGGAUAAAUAUUUUAUACUUUUGUCACAAAAAGUUGGUUUAUAUUUAUUUAAGUGAUACUUAUAAAUAUAUUAUACGAAGUGGGUCACAAAAUUGUGUAAGUCAAAGUCUGUGUAAUUUGUAGUAAUGCAUACCAAGAAGGAAUCUUCGGCCCUCUCUCUUUCUAUCUUUGUCUUCCUCUCAUUUUGGUGUUGUUUGUUUGGAUGUGUUUUGUCUUGUGUUAAUCUGAUUUGUUUUGUUCCAGUGAUGUUAAGCCUUUGACUAGUAAUAUGAGUAAUAUUGGGCAAACCACAAUACACGGUAAAGAAUGAAAGCCAGAGAAAUGCAAGACUGCAUGUCUACACCAUUAUUCACUAUUCAACAAUACAUUACUUAUUUUUUUCUUUGUGAUAAAAUUUAUUAACAACAAAUGCUAUGCUUGUUUUAUGGAUAAAGUAAUGUUUAUUUAAUAUAUCCACAACAAUAUCAGUCUGAUUUACUGAAAAAUAUAUAUAUCCACAACAAUAAAUGAAUUUCCAGUUAUACGUCUCAUUCAAUAAUAAUAUUUUCACUAUUACCAAAUAUUUUCUCUUCAUCCAAUUUUUUGUCACUUGGAUAUCACGAUACCCUAGGGGAUAUUGCGAUACCACUGCUUCAUGCCUUGAUCCCAGAACUAAUGGGGCUUUCGUGAUUCCAAUGCCCUGAUGUCAUGAUACCACUGCUUUGGAGAUGUUUUCGCAUGAUUUCAGGCCUCCGACAAGUACCUACAACACUCGAUCAAAUGUUAGGUUCCCCAAUUACACAAUUGGCCAAUUUCGGUAUAAAAAAUGAGUAAAACAAGGCAAUUUUCACUUAUUCAAUUGAAACAUAAAAAAAUAUUAAAAAACUACGUAAAAGACACAAAAAUGCUUGAAAACAAGCUCUUCAAGUAUAACGGGGAAUUUUAAUUUUACAUAUUAGAUUACGACAGAUCACACCCCUGUUCAGAAAAAUGAAAUGAAGAGGCUGAUUCAGAAAAUGUUACAAGCAAGCAUCAUUAAAGACAACAAUAGCUCAUUUGCUUCUCCCAUUAUCAUGAUCAAGAAGAAAUAUGGGAAUUGAAGACUGUAUGUUGACUCCUGACAACUCAACCAAGUUACCAUAAAAGACAAGUUUUUUGUUCUAGUUAUUGAGGAAUUGUUGGAUUAGUUGGGACAAGUUGUGUUCUUUUCUAAAUUGGAUCUCAAAUUGUUAUAGGGGAAAAAAGGAGAGCCUAAAAUAGAAGACUUAGUCUCAAGUUGAAGAGUAGCACUAAUAAUUCAAUUGUUGGUUUCAGAAAUCCAGUUGCAACAUGUUUGAUGGUGAGUGACACUAUUUGGUUUAGUCUAAUUAUUACAACAUGUUUGAUUGAAACUAUUUUGUAAUCUCUGAUUAAAUAAAUAUUGAGAGGAAAAGACUUCAAUUUUCUUCUUUUCCUUACCUAUAAAAUUGAAUUUCUAGUUUGGAUUACAUGCCUUUGGUUCUCGUCUCUAGUUAUGUAAGGCAGAGUCGCUGUUAGUUGGAUGGACCUACAUUGAAAACAUGAAUUGAAAAGAUAAGUAAUAGAAACUUUGUCAUAUUUAGACAAAUAUCAACCACAUCUUUAUUAACUUUUUACAUUUCUUAUCCCAAUAUUCAAAACCAAACAAUAAUACAUUCAUUGCAUGUUCCUUUUCUCAAAUAUCAUUUUAUUUAAUGUCAUUAGACAUUACUCUAUUCUUUUUUCUUUGUGAUAAAAAUUAUUAAACAAGAAAUUAUUACAAAUGUUGUAGCUAGGAAUCUACCCUUUGAGAUUGUUUGAUUCUAGUUUUUGACAAAUUGCUCAAAGUUGAUGGGAUAAAACAAGUGAAUUUGAUGGUGUUCGGAAACAAGCUUCGAUGUUUAGUGAGAUCAAAAUUUGUUCGCAAAUUAAAUUAUUCAAUGGGUAAAUAUCCAUGGAAGUUAUUGUCCCAGAGUGGGGCUGGACUUGGAUGGUGUCUGCGAGACUCAUUUUUAUCAAAUUCAAAGCAGUAGCAGUAAUAUCGAUUAAAUUACAACUAGAAAUAAAAACAGAUCAGUUGGUUUGGUUGCCUAGAGGUUUCGAGGGUUAUGUUUGUUCCCUCUCAUCCCAAGUACUACUAAGUCAGUACCCCUCUAAAUGGGGAGAACUUCGUUGAUCUUUCAUUGGUUUAAAAGUCCAAAUACCAAUUGUAAGGCAUCGAAACAACAAAGACAAGUAUUGGGGACCAGCUGAAGAGAGUGAGUGACAAGGUUUGAUUUAGAGUCUCAUGAUUGCAACAUGUUUGAUCGUGAUAUGAUUGUAAUGUCUAACAAAAUAUAUACCAAGACGAAAAGACCUUUUUUCUAUAAAAUCUAAAUUUCUAGUUUUGAAGACAUGCCUUUGGUUCUCAUCUCUUACUUGUUCUGCACGGCUAAGUCGCAGUUGCUUCGAUGGGCCUAUGUUGGAAACAUGAAUUGAAAAGAAUGCCAACAAGUAAUAGAAACUUUGUAAUAUUCAGAUAUAUCAAAUUAAGCUUUGUGUGGACCAUUCUCAAAUAAUUACUUUGGCAAUCCUGAAUUUAACAAUCUAACCAUUAAAUUUAAUUAACAAUAUAAUUAUAGUUGCCUUUCAUUUAAAAUUUUAAAUUGAUCUAAUACCUCUAUCAUUUCGGUUCAAAACUUUGUUUAUUUCAUAUAUAUUAUAUAAAGCAAAGUUUUUAAGUAUUUUUGAAUGUAACUAAGUAAGCAUGUUUUGUAACACCCCCUAACCCCAAACCAUCACCGAAACAGGGUUACGAGGUAUUACCGGAUAUAUCAAACAAUUUACAAAUAAACAUAUCAUAAAUAACCAACAUAUUAAAAUUAUACAAGCAUUCAUAUAAAUUUCACUAAUUGAAUUUUUUUUAUAAAAAAUUCGGCAGCAUUUCUGCUUAUUUUUACAUAAACCCCCUGCAAAAUUUCAAAAUAUAACCAACCCAAUUCAUUUCACAUUCUCAUUUUCUAUUCUAAAUACCUUCUAAUCAAACUCAAUCAACUUAAUAUCAAUUUAAAUUUAUCAAUGUACUAAUUAAAUUGAAAUGGAUAAACUUCUUUCAUUAAAAUUCUUAGACUUAUAAUACUAACAUUUUUAACUAUUUAUAUUCAAAACAUAAUAACAUUUAUACACAUCCUAUGUACAUGCCACAUUACUAAAAGAAAAUAUACAUCACCAAAAUUUGCUGAAGUCGGGUCUGGUUUUUGGAUGCUGGUUCAGUACUUGACUUCUACAACCUGCGCAAGGAAACAACCGUACGCUGAGUAUUUCAUACUCAGUGGUAUUACUAUAAAUUAAACUAUUUAAUAAUAAUAAAAUUUCAAAUAUUGACCAUAAUCUUUAUAAAUCAAUUUAAACUAAAUAUACAUAUUCAUGUAUCAUUUCAUAAAUCUUAAAUUUAUAUAUAUAUAUAUACAUACUAAUUCAAUUCAUAAUUUAACUCAUACAUUCUUUCUCGUAUUUUUCUAUAGUGUCAAAUCAACCAAUUUCAUUUUCAAAUUUUCAUUUCAAUUAUUUACCCUAUUAACAAGCCUCGGACUCUGACAGAUACGCGGAUUCUACCCAAACACACCAGAAUAUCCAACCUAAACACACCUGGAAUAAUAUAAAUCCUCCCUAACACACCAGUAUAUCAUAUCCUCCCAAACACACCAAUAAGUCAUUAAAUACCUCUUCGGAUAAAUCGAAGCAUAUAAUAACAGAAUCAUUUUCUCGGCCGAACUACAAAUCUCCUCAUCACAUCACAAAUCCUAUGGCAUGCCAUUUGUAUCCAAUCUAGUCCAAUAAGUUAAUAGGGUAUUAUUUUACUUUCCAAUUUCAAAUUCAUUUCCACAACAAUUUUAAAUACUCAAACAAUUCAAAACAUCUAUUAUUUUGAUUAAUAUAUAAUUCAAUAUUCACACAUAUUCUUACUUAAUUUCAAAUGUCUCAUGAAUAAAAUUUCAAUAUAGCAUUUAUUAAAUAGAUUAAGUUAUAGUAAUACAAACCCGGAAUACGCGUUUACUCCUCAACGAUCUUUUCUUUUCCUUUGGAUGCCGAUGCCUCGUUUUCCUUGUUAGCUACGAAAAUAAUAAUUAUUUUCACUAUUAAUUUCAGCAUUAAAAAAAUAAUUAUUAAAUUUUAUUCAAUUCCUACUUAUUCCCAAUUUAAUUCUAACUAAGCUUAUUUAUUUUUCUAACUUAAUUCAUAUUUCUUUUCUACUUAAUUUCUUGCCAUAUUUAACUCUACUAUUCAAUAUUCAUAAUUAAACCCUAAUUUAAGGCUUUUUAUAACUUAAUCCCAACUAUAUAAAACUUAUAACUUAGUUUACAAAUCAAUCUUUUUAUCUAUUCUAACUAGAAAUUCUAUCAACUAAACCCCUAAUUUAACAACUUGUUCAAAAUGAAUCAUGUUCAUAAACCUAUGAACUUUCAUAACCUCCACUUAAUUUCAACAAAACUUUGUUUUAAAGCUUCUAAAACAUCAAAAUGAAGAGAAAAUGGCUAAAUUUAGCUUACCAAUUAAACUUAAAGCUUUAAAAUCUCAAUUUCCCCUUUUCUUUUCUUUCCCUUUUUCUUCCCCUAUUUUCGUCUCUUUCUCUGUUUCUAUUCCGUUCUUCUUUUGUUUCUUUAUCUUUUUAUUUUACUUACUUUACUUUAUUUCUUUUAUUUUAACUAAUAAUAUAUUAAAAAAAAUCUUUUACUUAUUAGUUAAGCAUAUAUUUAUUUUUAUUACAAGUGUACCUAUAUAAUUACUACUAUUACACUUGUCUUUAUUGCUUACCAUACAUUUGUCAUCUAUUUAGUUUAUAUAAUAUAAUAUAAUAUAAUAUAAUAUAAAACAUAAAAAUCUAAGAUUUUUAUCACUUAUGCCGUCCCAUUGCCUGUUAAUGGCUUAAUUGCCAUUUUAAUCCUUUUUAUUUUCUAUUAAUCUAUAAUUCAAGUUUUUCCCCUAGUUCAAUUUAGUCUUUUUUCCUAAUUUCCCUUAAUUAAACUAAAUUCAUCCAAUUAAUACCUAAUUAAACACUCAACUAAACUCAUAAUGACUUCAAAUAUUAUAAUUUUUUUAUGACUCAGUUUACUAAGACGGAGGCCCGAUAAUGUACUUUUUCCGAUGCUUGUGAAUUUUGGGUCAUUACAUGUUUCUUCUAUUGCGAGUCAAAAGUUUGCAGCAAUUUUAGCCAUUUCGUACACUAUAUCCAUAAGUUUUUAAAAAUAUCAUAAAUUUCCUUUGGAAAUUUUGUUGGUGUAUUCUAAAUUACAUAAUAAUCAGAAAUAUGAAAUAUUUUCAUAUAUUCUCGCCUUUUAGUAUAAGUAAUAAUAAAAAUUUUUGUUCAUUCACCCUUACUAUGAAAAUAAAAAUAAAAAAUUAUAAAAUUAGAACCGUAAAUCAAUUUUGGUUUAAAAUUUUAAACCUACAUAUUAAAGAUAUCCUAACAAUUUUACUUUAUAAGAGCACAGUUUAUGGAAUAAUUUUUAUAUCCAAUCAAAGGCCUUUUAUUCUUAUAAAUAUCGGAAAUUACAAAGUUAAUCUUUGUGUAGAAAAUCUGAUAGGUAAGUAGCAUAGCAUCCAUCUAAUAGAUUAGGAAAUCUGUAGUCUUGAGAUGUAAUAGAUUUUACGGUCACAUUGGCAACCUUAAAUUAUAAUCUUCAUUGAUCUCGUUUGCAUAACAUCCAUCUAAUUUUGAGAAAUCUUCACUUUUAAUUUCAAAAUUGUAAUUAAAUAGUUUUAUCCAAUUAAAUAAUAAUAUAUGGCUAUGGUGAUGUCUAUAAUUCCAUAAAAUAAUUACUCUAAUAUAAUUCAUGUCUCUUCCUUUCUGAGUUUAUCAAGCAAUAAAUUCCCUUCGAUUUCACCUAACUUGUUAUAAUAAUGUUUUUUUUGAAAUUAGUUAAAGAAGAAAAUUUAUGAUGUUAUAUUUAAAUUGAAUCUUUCGAUUUAUUAGGAAUUGAUUUUAAAUUAGAAAGAUCAAAAUUUAAGUAGAAUCACUUAGGGAUGUCAGUGGGGCAAAUUUUGCGGGUCCCGCCCUACUUCGUGCUCAAUUGACAGUGGGAUGGGGACAAAAAUUAAACCCGUUGUGAGUGGUGGGGUAGGCGUGGGUAUGACCUUGUACCUACCCCAUCCCAUCGCGCAUAAUAUAAUAAACAUAUUUAAAAAAUAAAUAUUUAUAAAAAAUUAAUUUAAUAAUUAUUUUAAUAGUAUUUAAUUUUUGCUCUUGUGUUGCAUUUGAAGAUAUUUAUGAUGUAUUUGAGAUAUUGUUUGUAUUUUGAUAUUAUGUAAUGACUUUAUUUUUUGAAUUUUAAACUUGAAAUUAUAUCUUAUUUACCAAUUAAAGGUCGUAACGACUUACCUUUUUUUUUUUAAAUAGUGACAGUUAGAAUAAUGUCACAUAUGUGGUGGGAGUCUGGAGGAUAAAUAUUUUAUACUUUUGUAACAAAAAAUUGGUUUAUAUUUAUUUAACUGAUCCUUAUAAAUAUAUUAUAUGAAGUGGGUCAUAAGGCAAGUAUAUAGCGGGGAUUAGGUGGGUUUGAGACCCAUGUGGGUGGUAAGGAGAGGAUGAAUUUGAGUUUUGUACCCGUAAUGGGUCACGUGAUGGAGAUGGGGAUGAAAAUUCUUAGCGGGGAUGGGGAUGAAAAUUGUGUAAGUCAAAGUCUGUGUAAUUUGUAGUAAUGCAUACCAAGAAGGAAGCUUUGGCCCUCUCUCUUUCUAUCUUUGUCAUCUUCUCAUUUUGGUAUAUUGUUUGUUUGGAUGUGUUUUGUCUUGUGUUGAUCUGAUUUGUUGUUCCAGUGAUGUUAAGCCUUUGACAAGUAAUACGAGUAAUAUUGGGCUCCAACCACAAUACAUGGUAAGGAAUGAAAGCCAGAAAAAUGCAAGACUGCAUGUCUACACCAUUAUUCACUAUUCAACAAUACAUUACUUAUUUUUUUUCUUUCUGAUAAAAUUUAUUAACAACAAAUGCUAUGCUUGUUUUAUGGAUAAAGUAAUGUUUAUUUAAUAUAUCCACAACAAUAUCAGUCUGAUUUACUAAAUAUAUAUAUAUAUAUAUAUAUAUAUAUCCACAACAAUAAAUUAAUUUCCAGUUAUGAGUCUCAUCCAAUAAUAAUAUUUUCACUAUUACCAAAUAUUUUCUCUUUUAAUAUUUGUUUAGAAAAUAGCGUUCAAGAUGAAUUUAGACAAAUAGUUUAGUAGUAGAUUAAAUUCUUUGGAUAUAUUAACCAAAUCCACACCAGCAAAUUUUACCUAUGAUGGAUUCAAUUGAACAUAUAAAAUAAUAACUUGUUAGAAGGGUUGAUUAAUUGGAAAGCAUAGAAUGGGUUAAUCAAUUAGAAAACUAGAAUUUAUAAAACUUAAGUAUAUAAUUUUAUAUUGGAAUUAUUCAGUGGGAUGAAGAGUAAAUUUCAAGUAGCAAAAGGAUGGAUCCAUCUCUCUCCCUUCCAUAUUUAGUCUUUUUCAAAUCUUCAAGAAUAGGCUGAUGUACAAUUAUUUUACUUUGAAUGCAUGAGUCUAUGGUAAGGAAGGGGUCCCAGCAGUAAGGUAAAAUGGUAAGUGUUGAAACAGAAAAUAAAAGAAAUGUAGCCGCUGUGGGUCUUAUGGAAUUAGUAUGAUUUAACGAUGACGGGGCUUAUGGUGCUUUGGAAUUAUCGUUUUUUUUAAGAUGAUUUGAUUUGGUGAAAGGGAGUGCUUUCGAUGUGGGUAUUUGGUUGCAUCCUUAUUGUUGUACAAAAAACUAGCUAGUUGGAGGAUCAACUUUCCUUUCAAUUUUAAUAAAAAUUAUAUAUGAACUUGUGAACUUGUAUUCAAAUUGAAUCUUUCCAUUGAGUCGCUCUUGCAAGUCAAUGCAGCAAUCAAGAACCAUAUUAUUAAUACCCAGCUAAGAUCGUGGACGUUUUCUACUCUAUAUUUUUCUCCUAAAUGCUUCAUUCCAGUGAAAAGUGCUGCAAUUCCUACGGCAAUGGCACCUCUGCCGAUAAUUACAUGGAAAUACUCCCAAAUUAAUCUCUUUGUGGAAGCGUCCUCCCCAUUAGCAGGUUUUGUCCGGUCUGAGAUAUGCAUUCAUUGGUUGCACAGAGGCAAAAACUAUGGCAGCAAUACCAAGCUUAACAUGUAAUGAGCUGACAUAGAAACCCCGAAGUUCGGCAACUUCAAAAAGAACACCAAGUAGGAUAAUUGCUAAUCCUGAAUAUUGUAGGUAAAUAUGAAUUUGGUACCAUCCAUCACCCUUUACAUGUUUUAGGUAUCUAGCAGCCAAUAUUCCACCAGGAAUCAAAAUACCCCAGGAGAGGAACAGCAUAAACCCAUGUACAGCUUUGACAGGUUGUAAACCUUGCUCAGCGUUGGAAGAACCACGGAUAAGCAGCACUUGCACAGGCCUUUGACUCGUGACAGUAUGCAUGUUUUCUCACUGAGAUGUUCAUCAGUCCACUUUGAACCCAUUGCCCAUAUGACUUUAAGAGGAGUUGUAGGAUCAACAAUGUUCUUGCACUGUGGCUUAUCAUUUUGAUUGCAUGAUGGUUUUAAUGGACGUGUGAAUUCCAAAGUAAUGAUGCCAUCUUCUGACCUGCACCUGACAUGUGUCAGAUUCUCAUUUGUUGGAUGAAUGUUCAAGGGAUGCUUUCCAUCAAUCCAAUAUGUAUUUAAAUGCCCUUUUCCACUAUCGCCAAUCCAGCCCACAUAUGCAUAGCUAUUCACCAUCCCAUUACCGAAACCUAUUGCAAGAUAGCCACUCUUAUUCACACCACGGGCAGCAAUAGUUAUUGAAUCUUCUGAUGACGUCCAAAAGAAAGUAACUUGAUCAUCUAAAAGCACACUAGUGUUAUACAUAUCAGACAGGGCACCAUCAAAAACUUGAACUUUCCAUCCCAUCUUCUCCUGGUACAAGGACUGAUAAUACACUUGAUCGGGGGUAUUCCUAUCGGGAACCCAAAUCAAUUCAUGAGGAUUUGCUACAACUCCUUCCGCUUCUGGCCCUCCAGAAUAAAUAGUCUCAGUUGCAUUCCUUAAUGUAGCAUUCCCACCUAGAGAAUCUGAAGUAAUAUACAAUGCAACAGCAUGCCCUGCCUGCGCCAAAAACUUAACUGGAACCCCUCUUUCCAAUCUCAACACCGGUGCUUACUUAUUAUUAAUACACAAAACCUUAGACGGACUUGGCGGACUUGGAUAAUGCAACACCUCCCCUGUUGUAGCAACAAGGGGGACUUCUGUAUCAGCAAUAAUCAACUAUUGAUCCUCAUUAUCAUCAGCAUCCAAUGGCCAAAACAAUCAUCUACCUUCUCUGAAACAUUAAGCACCAAAUGUCCUUAUGCAACCUUCUCUGGAUCCCCAUGAAAUUGGGGCAAAAAAUGAGACCGAUUUUCUUUCGGUGGUUUCAUCAACCCUAAUGCCCAAAUAACCCUCAUAUCCUCAUUAGGAUACACAGGCAAAUCAUACUUCUUAGGGUAAACUGCAAAAUUAGUCACUUUUGUUUGUCUUAGAUUACAUUUUAAUCACUUAUGUUUGAAAUGUUAUAUUUUAGUCACUUACGUUAUCAUUUUGUUACGAAGUGAUCACUCUAUCGUUAAGCUCUGUUACCUCCCUAAUGGCGGUCCUACAUGGCAAUCCAGAUGGGUUUUAAAUGCCAACUUAGAUGUCUUACUUGGCAAUCCAAAUUGAAUUUAUUUAAUUAAAAACCUAUUUUCAUUCCAGCAACUGGACAUCCAAGUUGGCAUUUAAAACCCAUUUGAACUGCCACGUAGGACUACCAUUAGGGAGGUAAUGGAGUUCAAUGGUAAAGGGACCACUUCGUAACAAAACGAUAACGUAAGUGACUAAAACGUAACAUUUCAAACAUAAGUGACUAAAAUGUAAUCUGAAACAAACAAAAGUGACUAUUUUUGUAGUUUAUACUACUUCUUAUCUGUCGAAUUCAAUGGUUUCCUAAACAUAAUUAAAGAAACCCCAUCUCUCCUAUGUCCAUAAACUAACCUAGUAUUAUUCACCAUCAUGCCAUUUUUCGAAUUCUCAUAAACUACAUCAGGGCAAACACCUAUAGCUGUACGAUCUUUAGAACUCAACUUACAUUCACUAUAAGCCGUAAUGUAAAAAUCAUCAACAAAAGGCCUACCUUCUUCAGUAAAACUUGCCACCGUAACAUCAACUCCUUCGUCCUAUUCGGAUUUGCCCACCCAAAUGCCAUGUAAUAGGUCGUCGGUGUCGCCGCUUCUAACCCGAUCUCGAUCUAAUUUUCCUCCACAUUCAAGUUCCACCGGACCCUAUAAUUAUCCGAUAAGUUCUUGCAGUUAUCAAACACUGUAUGCAUCGAGCCCGAAACCGAAUCCGACCCAUUUCGAGGGAGGGUGACAUGGCCGAAGUCCGAGGUGCUGGCGAUGUCCCAUAUUGAAAGAAUGUUGAUCUGGUCCCAGGUUAUGUCGGGGAGCAAUUGGACUGAAGACGGUGCAUUUUUUGUAAGCUGUUUGAUUGAGGCGUUGACCGGAGAUGGGGAACCCGCUGGUGAGGUCAGAGAAGUUGAAGGAGACGGCGCCCCAGAAAAUGACGUCGGAUGAGCCGGAUAACAUGUCGAAUCCGGUGACCUGGAAAGAGUAGCCAUUGAGGAUUUUGAGAUGGCCACGGAGUUGGUGUCGGACCAUUGUGAAGUUUGAUUCAAACCCGACUAGGGAGCUGAUGUUAGAGCAUUUCUGACCCGAAUCCGCUUUGGAAGAGGCGAUGGAAUUGAUUAGGAAGAGUGGGAUUAGAAGGAAAAUUUUGGAAUUGUACAUUCGAAUCCGGUCGCGGGUGAUUCGAGAAUUUGAAUUCGGUGAUGAUGGAAAAUGAACGUUUUAAAGAGAAGGAAGGAGCCAAUGAGCUGCUGGGUGGUGAGUGGUGACUCGGUGCAGCCGGAGCGAGUUGUCGACUUGUCUCGAUAUUGGUUUAUAAUUUUACUUUUUUUCCUGCUUUUCUGAAAAGAGGAAACUAGAAUCUCUACUAUCAGUUUUUUAAUUUUAAUUUAGUUCAAAUUUUUUAAUUUAGUAGUCCAACUAAUGGAGAAUUUUUUUUGCCAAUUUCCAUAAUGAGAGGACAUGAUAAUUAAAAAUUAAUAUAAUAGUAAAUUUAAUUCUUAAUUUUUACAUUUUGUAUCAAUUUAGUCAUUAUUUUAAAAAAAAUUAAUCUUCAAAAUUUACAAAUUAUCUCAAUUUGAUCAUCAAAAUUUACCUUUUCUUUCCACUUCCUCUGCUACCACUACCAUCGUUGCCUCUAGUUCCGGCUUCUCCUCCACCUUUCUAAAUUUUUUUUUUUCAAUCAUGUUCAAAUUUAAGGCAUUAUAAUUUAUUUUGUGUUAAGUUAGAUGAAGCCUAAGCAAUUUAAAUAUAUGUGCUUCUAUUUUACAAUAAAUUAGGUUGAAAUAGAAAGAGGAAAGGUAUGUUUUUUUUGGGAGAAAGGUGGAGGUGGAGGUAAUGAUGGUAAUGGCACGUGGUGAAGUAGAAGAAAAAAGUAAAUUUUGAGGAUCAAAUUGAGAUUAUUAGUAAAAUUUGAGAAUUAAUUAUUUUAAAAUUUUGACUAAAUUAAUAUAAGAUGUAAAAUUUGAGAGCUAGAUUUAUAAUUAUACUCAUUUUUUAACUACUACAUUACCUUCCAUAGAGAUUUAAAGAAAUAGUUAAGUGAUCAAAUUAAAAAAAAUUGAUAAUUAGGUAACUAAAAAAGAAAAAGGGAAGAUAGUUGGGUGACUUGUGGUAUAGUUUACCCUAAUAAUAAAAUAUAAUAGGGUAAACUAUAGAAUUAGUCACCCCACUAUUAGUGUGUUUCUGUUUUGGUCACCUAACUAUGAAAAUUUUUAAUUUUAUCUCUAUCGUUUUAGAUCAUUUCUAUUUUGGUCACUUACGUUUUAGAGCAUUUUUAUUUUACUCACUCUUCAUUAAAUCAUUAACGAAAGUUAUGAUGUGACCUUUUUUUAAUUAGUAUAAAUAAUACAUUUAGUCUUCAAUGCUUACAAAUUUUAUCAAUUUGAUCCUCGAACACAUAUAAUUAAAUAUAAAGUAUAUAUUAUGAAAACGUACAAAAUAUAAUUAUUUAUAUAUAAUUAUCUAAAUAAUAUUAUAUGUGCUUAUAUUUAAUUAUAAUUAUAAGGUUCAAAUAUGCAUUUAGCUCCUCAAACUUGACACCUUUUCCCAUGUUGGUACUUAUGAUUUUUUUGUCCCAAGUUGGUACCUAAUUUUUCAUUCUGUCAAGGGCUUUGUUACAAUAUUAAAUAUAGGACACAUGACACUCUUAGGAUGCCAUAAUCUAUUUUUUUUUAUAAAAAUAUAAUAAAAAUUUAAAAGAAACUAUAUAAAUAUAUAUUUUAAAAUAUAAAGGAAAUUAUAAAUUAUAAAAAUAUAUGUAAAUAAAAAUUUUAAAAUAUUACAAAAAAUCUAAAAUUCAAGUUGGAAAAAUCGAAAACCUAGAAAAUUUACACAUUUUUCUAAAUAAAUUGCAAACAAAUUAGAUAAAGAUAAAUUUUACAAUAAAUUUUAUGUUUAGAGAUGGGUGCAAAUUAUUACACGAUUUUUCAAGUUAAUAAGAAUGUAAAAGAUGAUGAUUUAAAAAUGGCUUACAAGAAGCUUUUUCGUUGUCCUUUUUUCUUUUUGUUAAUUAUUUGCUAGAUGAUGGGAAAAAUUGGGUUCCUUUGUUGGAAAUGCUAUAAAAACCAAAAAUUUACUAAGUUCUGGGGGUUUUGAGUUUUUGGGUUUAUCAAAAUCACACACACAUAUAAAUUUAUCAGUAUUUAGUUAUAUGUGUUUAAAUAUGAUCAUUUUUUAUAUUUAAUUAUAUGUGUUUGAGAAUAAAGUUGAUAGAAUUUGUAAAUAUGGAGGGUGAAAUUUAUUGAAUUAUUUAGAAUAAGAAUCAAAUUGAUAGAAUAUGUAAGUAUUAAGAAAUAAAUGUGUUAUUAUGCCAGUUGGAAAAGGCAACAUCAUCGCUUCCGUUACCUAUUUAAUGGAGAGUGAUCAAAAUAGAAACAAUCUAAAGUGUGAGUAAACAAAAUAGAAAUAAUAUAAAAUAUAAGUGACUAAAUUAAAAAAUUCAUAGCCGGGUGACUAAUCCUAUAGUUUACCCUAGACGGUAGAAGCAAUUAGGAUUAAUUCCACCAAACAUCUCAAACUAUUACUCAUAUUUUAAAUUGAACCCUAAACUUGUACACAUUCUAAUUAAAUUACUCAAAUAGAAUAUGAUAACAUGUUAUGCUAUUAUUCAUCGAUAAUGCAUAGAACUUAUGCACCAACAAUGCAUCAAAUAUUCUCAUUAAAAGAAAAUGUAUAAAAUAAGUUUUAUACCAUCUAUAAGCUGUAAAAAAAAAAUUAUCCAAUAAAAAAUAUAAAAGUACAUAUCUAUAAUUUCACAAAAAGAGAAUUACAUUAAUCAACCUCACAAAAUAUACAUCUCACAAAUCUGAUUGAGGUUAAAAACAAAGAAUGCAUGCAUGUACUGUGCAAUUAAAACCAUGAUCCAUAUUCAAUUCUAAAGUAUUGAACAUAUAAUUUUGCAUUAUUUUACCUCCCUUGAUUCUUCACACACUCUUUGGAAUAAAUUAACCAUCUAUUCCUUAUUUCAAUUUUAUUAAAAAGUUAGGUUCCCAUAAAGACAAUCUUUACAAACCAGUGCACCUAUCAUAAACACAUCAGGGAACAUUGCCAUGAGAGAGGACCUAAGAAAACAUAAUACAAACUACAAAACAUACAAUCAGGCACCCACACAAAAUGUUUAUUAAACAGCUACAGAACCUGCAUACCACCAAGCAAUGAAGUUUUCUGUUCUGUUUGCAACUUGUUGAACUCGCCCAAGUGUUGGCUUCUCUACCUUUUUGCAAAUCUUUGUCGGGCUCGCUCCACGAUCCUAAUCAACCACCAUGGUUUUCCUGUCGUGAAUACAAUGUAUGCCAUGCUCAUUCCCAGCACCAACCCACAUCCAUACCCCAUCAAUAUUGAAAAUUUCCAAUUCAAUUCAUCACCAUCAUCAUCUCUAUCAAAUUUGGCUGGAGUUUCCUCAUCAGUACCACAGUUUUUUGAUAAUGGCAAACCACAUAAAUCCAAAUUUCCCAUGUAGGAAUCGUUAGUGAAAGUAUCAAAUUGUUUGCCUUGAGGAACGGGUCCCUUCAGAUUAUUUUGAGAAAGGUUUAACACCUCUAAGAAUCCAAGAUUUUUUAACUCUGUUGGAAUUCUUCCUUCCAGCUUAUUUGAUGAGAGAUCUAAUGAUUCAAGCUCUGACAAAUUACCUAAAGAUGAUGGGAUAGGACCUAUUAAACAGUUAUGGGAGAGAUUUAGGACAAUAAGUAAAUGAAGCUCACCAAGUAUUUUUGGAAUUUCUCCCCUGAAUUGGUUACUAGAAAGGUCAAUAACCGUCCAAAUGGAUAAUAGUGAUUCAAACUGUAUUUCCAGCCCUUUUGCUGUAACAGAUAAACCAGAAGCAUAAUCCACCCAAAAUGAACCAAUUGCAUCUUUCGUGAUCUUUACUUCUCUCAUGUAAUUUGGUUCAACUUUCUUUCCAUACUCAUCUCUAAUGGCAUGCAUAUGCUCAAAAAAAAGGGUAGGUAAGUAGCCACUAAAAUUAUUGUGAGAAAGAUCAAUGAUUCGCAAUUUAGUUAAAGAAACUGUAGUAUCAAAGCUCUCUAUUUGGCCGUAAAGUCUAUUCGAUCUCAAGAUAAGAACUUGCAGCUGAUCCAAAUUUCCUAACCAACUUGGGAAAGUGUCAUUCAAAUUGUUGUUUCCAACAUUGAGAAGAUUUAAAGCUUUGCAAUUACCCAAAGAUCGUGGUAGUGACCCUUCUAAUUCAUUGUUGUUGAUGCGUAAACUUCUCAACAUGCAACCUUUAGCAAAAUUUUCUGGUAUUUGACCAUGAAAAUUAUUAUUCCUUAGAUCAACUGCUGUGAGAGAAGAACUCAAGUUUCCGAUGCACUUUGGAAUUGUUCCCUCCAAAAUUUUCCCAUCUAAAGAAAUACUCAUAAGGGAAGUCAAAUUGCAUAUUGAAGAAGGGAUUUCUCCAAUUAAGUUAUUAGUUGAAACUCCAUACAAUUGCAAUAAAGGUGGUGGUGUUGGAAUUCGACCUUAGAGAUAAAAUUGAAAAUGAGAUAGAAUUAGGAGUUUGAAGAUUCUUUGGAAUAUAAAUUAUAAAAUAACUAUAUUUGUGAUGAUGUGUACACUCAAUACAAAUAAUGCAUCACAACAACUUUUAAGUUGUAAUCUAUUGAAGGAAACUACUACUAUCUUCUAGAGAGAAAUUUUUAUUUCCCUUACUUAAAAGUAAAAAGGGAUUGCAUAAAUGUAUAAAAAAUAGAAGGAAAAAAAAAUCAAACUAUACUUAAUAGUUUAUUAUAAAAGAGAUAACCAUUUAAUAUCUUACUUAUAUUUCAUUUUUUAGUGUUUAUUAUUAUUUUUUGUACUUUUAUGUAUAUUUUAUAAUUUAUUAUUGGGGUUCACGGUUGUUAUUGUCAAGAAUAUCAUCUCUAAGACUUGAAUCUUGUUCUCCCCUUAAGAGAAUAAUAUGUUUUACCACUGCACCGAAUAUUUAUUGGUGUAGUAUUUAUUAUAACUACAAAUAAUUUUAAUUAUCUUUUUAUGAAACUCUAAGUUAGAGGUCAAAUAAAAAAACAAAUUAAUUGAUAUAGUGUUUAAAUUUUUAUCAUUAUAUGUAAAGUUUUAAUUAUUAGUUAUAAUUUUUUUCCUCACAAUUGAAAUUUAAAAACGAUAUUUUAUGAAAUUUAAAGAUAACAUAAUUAAUAGAAAAUUGACAUUUUCUUUAGAGUCGGAAUCUAAGUAGUAGCAAUAUCUGUAACUGGUACUUCAAAUGUACAUUUUAUGUUUAUAAUUUUUAUAAGAUUGGGAGUUAAUUGAGAUUGUAGCCUCAAAAUUGGUGUUAAUAAGAAUGUAAAAGAUGAUGAUUUAAAAAUGGCUUACAAGAAGCUUUUUCGUUGUCCUUUUAUUUUAUUUUAUUUGAUAAUUAUUUGCUAGGUGAUGGGAAAAAUUGGGUUCCUUUGUUGAAAAUCCUAUAAAAACCACAAAGUUACUAAGUAAUGGGGGUUUUGAGUUUUUGUGUAACAACCCGAUUUUGGGCUUAGUCGGAACAGUGGUUUUGGGACCACAAAUCUGACGAGGAAAAAUUUAUUCUUAUUAUGUCUUUAUGGUCUACAAUUUCACAGAAUAAUAUCGUGAAAAUUUCGUUCGAAAAUUUUGACGUUUGAGCACUCGAUUUAGUAAAAAGGACUAAAUUGUAAAAAGUGAAAAAAUUGAGUUCUACAUGUUAGAAGUGUCCAAUUGUUAUGAAAUUUUAAAUUAGAGAUCCUUAUUUGGUAAUUAGACUAUUGGUUAAGUUGGUGGACAAAAAUGGACAUGGUUAGGCAUGUUUCCAAAGUUUUUCAUUAAUGGCGUUUUAGUCAUUUUUUUAAUUAAAAUGAAUUAAAAACAAAAUUAAAAGCCAAUUUUUGUCCAUCUUCAAGCUAGGGGCCGAAAUUUUCAUGGAGAAACCAUGGAUAUGGUUUUUCAAGCUUCCAAGCUCGAUUGUAAGUCCGUUCUAGCCCCAUUUUUAAUGCUUUUCACGUUUUUGAAAUCCUUGUAACAUGAUUUAUUUAUUUCUACCAUUUAUUUGAGAUAUGAUGAAGGUCUAGAUUUUGACCCAUGUUAUAAAUUUGUGUAUUUUGAUGGUUAAUGGUAGAUUUUGACCCAUUUAUUUGUGUAUUUUCGGUGAAAAUGCAUAAAAGGACUAGUUUGUAAAAAGAUUGUAAAAUGUGUGUAAGUGUGUGAAUAAGUGAAAAUUGUGGAAUGCUAUAGUUAUGAAAAUGGUUCAGCUAGGCCUAAAAUGCAAAGAAAUUGAAUAAAAUUAUUUUACAAGCCUAAGGGUAAAAUCAUAAUUUUGUGAAACUUUAGGGGAAAAGAUGUAAUUUUUCCAAAGUGUGAUUUUUGGACUAAAUUGAAUAAUUUGAGUGUUAAAUAAGGUAAAUGUGUUAUUAUAAAUUAAGAAAGACGAGAAAUUGACUUUGAUCAGUGAAAAAAAGUGAAAUUAUGAAAGAGUAUAUUUAGCAACAAAAUAGUUUAGAUAGAAAUAGUUGUGUGAUAUUGAAAAAUCACCAAAAAUCGUGUAAAUUGAAUUAGAGGCUGAAUAAUAUAUUAAAUUAAAGCUAAAUGAGUCUAUUUUCACAUAAAAGAGACAGAGCAAGCAAAAGAGUUUUAUAUUAUGAGAUAUUUUAAUUUUAGUGAGAUAGGGCCAGAAUGAUUUCGAAAUUCCCUCUUUUGAAUUUGGAAAAUCAUUAAAAAUUUUACAAAAAUAAUUAGGAGCUAAACUUUAUAUUUUUAGAAUCUUGAAUGAGUAUAGUUUCAAAAUAAACAAACAGGAACAUUAUCCAAAUUCUAUACAAUGAGAUAAUUAAUUUUUAGUGAAGAGGGGUCAGAACUGUCGAGCAUUGAAAUAGGAGAAAAUUUAAAGAAUAAAAUGUACUUAUUGGAUAAGAAAAAAAUAAUGAAAAUUUUAUGGUAAGAAUAUAUAUGAGUCUAGUUUCAGGUAAAAUGAAAGGAUCUUAAUUUGGAGCUCUGUAGCUCGAGAUAUAAAUAAAUUAGUGACUUUGACUCAGACAGACAGCUUGAAUUUACAUACAGGAAAAUAGUGAAAGAAUGGAUAAUGUUGUUUAAAUGUGUUAUACACAUUAAGGAUGUGGAAUGGAGAGGAGGAGGAGGAAAACUGGAAAAAUAUAGGAACGAUUCAUGUAUAAUUGGUCAUAUGCUCGAUUAUAAUUGAUAAAUGAUGAAAUAGAAAUGAUGCUUAUAUUUGUGCAUUAUUGGUCAUGGUUUAAGUUCAUGUGGGAAAAUAAGUUUCAUAGUAUGUGUGUAUGGUAUAUUGGGUAUAUGAUUUUGCAUGAAGUAAUGUCAUGAAUGGUUUAUGAAUUAACACAUGUCGGUAAGUUACGUGUAAAUAAUAGCAAUAUAUUUUUAUAAAUUGUGAAUUAUAUUUGGUAUGUGAAUUAAUAUUGAAUGUGGAAGGAAAAUUGUUCAUGAAUUAUUCAAGUGAUAAAGUGCUUAAAAUAAAGUGUUAAGUGCAAAUUCCUGGUUGAACUUAGGAAUAGAAGUGGAUACAAGUGACAUGUCACUAGAGACUAGUGUUAUAGUGUUACAGUGAGUCCCGGUUGCUGGGUGAUCUAGCAUGUGUUGCAGAUACCUGACAGCUUGUAUGAGCAGGCCCGUGGACAUUUUCAGUGUUAUUGAUUAGUGGUAACUUCGGCUACAUUUCAAUGGUAGCUACAGCUACAUAUCAGUGGUAGCUUCGGCUACAUUUUAGUGGUAUCUACGUCUACAUAUCAGUGGUAGCUUCGGCUACAUAUUAGUGUGACACUUAUGUGCUAAUUCUCUACUUAUUCGUGUAUAUUCCGAAUGUUCAAUGGGAUUAAUAAUGAGUUAAAAUGAAUAUGAAAUGUGGUGUACAUGCUUAGGCUUUGGUCAAGUUGUGGCUCAAUUAUGCCACGUUAAACUUAUAUUUAUGCAUUGUAUUGAUACGUUUAUGUUUUGUGUAAUAUGCAUAGGAACGGGUGUGGAAAGGUAAUGAAUUAAUAAGUUCAUACUUGAAGGGUAAAAUGACGAAAAAGGGGAUGAUGAGUUGAAUUGAUGUUGCUAUUUAAGCUAGAGUGAUAUUUUUAUUGGAAAAUUGAGAAUUUCAUAAAUGUGUUAAUGAAUGAUAUAAUCGAUAUACGUUGAGUUAAAUGUUAAAUACGUAUUAGUAUUGAACUUAAUAACAUUGAAUUGUACGUGAAUUAAAUGGAAAUUGCUAGUGAUAUGAUUUAAAUUGUGAGCAUGAGAAAUUGUGAAUUGAAUGAAAUGGAAAUGAAGCAUUGAAUUGCAUGAGUAUGUAUCGGGUCUCGUAGGUCCUAUUUAUUAUGAUUAUAAUAUUUUGAGGAUAUAUUGUGAAGAGUUAUAAAAACAUGUUAAUAAUUUUAAAAGUUUUAAUUUAGAUGAAAUUUUAUAACUCGGUUAAAUACAUUUACAAGUGUAUGUGUUCUGGUAAUGCCUCGUACCCUAUUUCGGUGUUGGAUACGGGUAAGGGGUGUUACAUUUUGGGUUUAUCAAAAUAACACUCACAUAUAAGUUUAUCAGCAUUUAGUUAUAUGUGUUUAAAUAUAAUCAUUUUUUAUAUUUAAUUAUAUGUGUUUGAAAAUAAAGUUAAUAGAAUUUUUAAAUAUGGAGGGUGAAAUCUAUUGAAUUAUUUAGAAUAAGAAUUAAAUUAAUAGAAUGUGUAAGUAUUAAGAAAUAACCGUGUUAUUAUGCCAGUUGGAAAAGGCAACAUCAUCACUUAAUCGUUAACUAUUUAAAGGAGAGUGAUCAAAAUAGAAACAAUCUAAAGUGUGAGUGACCAAAAUAGAAAUAAUAUAAAUGUAAGUGACUAAAUUAAAAAUAUUCAUAGUUGGGUGACUAAUUCUAUAGUUACCCUAGAUGGUAGAAGCAAUUAGGAUUAAUUCCACCAAACAUCUCAAACUAUUACUCAUAUUUUAAAUUGAACCCUAAACUUGUACACAUUCUAAUUAAAUUACUCAAAUAGAAUGUGAUAAUGUGUUAUGCUAUUAUUCAUCGAUAGUGCAUAGAACUUAUGUACCAACAAUGCAUCAAAUAUUCUCAUUAAAAGAAAAUGUAUAAAAUAAGUUUUAUACCAUCUAUAAUUUGUAAAAAAAUAUGUAUUGAAUAAAAAAUAUAAAAAUACAUAUCUAUAAUUCCACAAAAAGAAUUACAUAUCUAUAAUAUCUUUUUAUAAAUUCAAUUCCAAAUCUCCUGUACUAAAUCAACCUCACAAAUCUGAUUGAGGUUAAAAAGAAAGAAUGCAUGUAUUUUGCAAUUAAAACCAUGAUCCAUAUUCAAUUCUAAACUAUUGAACAUAUAAUUUUGCAUUAUUUUACCUCCCUUGAUUCUUCACAAACUCUUUGGAAUAAAUUAACCAUCUAUUCCUUAUUUCAAUUUUAUUAAAAAGAUAGGUUCCCAUAAAGACGGUCUUUACAAACCAGUGCACCUCUCAUAAACACAUCAGGGAACAUUGCCAUGAGAGAGGACCUAAGAAAACAUAAUACAAAGCACCCACACAAAAUGUUUAUUAAACAGCUACUGAAAAAGGCCUGCAUACCACCAAGCAAUGAAGUUUUCUGUUCUGUUUGCAACUUGUUGAACUCGCCCAAGUGUUGGCUUCUCUACCUUUUUGCAAAUCUAUGUUGGACUCGCUCCACGAUCCAAAUCAACCACCCUGGUUUUCCAGUCGUGAAUACAAUGUAUGCCAUGCUCAUUCCCAGCACCAACGCACAUCCAUACCCCAUCAAUAUUGAAAAUUUCCAAUUCAAUUCAUCACCAUCAUCAUCUCUAUCAAAUAUGGCUGGGGUUUCCUCAUCAGUACCACAGUUUUUUGAUAAUGGCAAGCCACAUAAAUCCAAAUUUCCCAUGUAGGAAUCGUUAGUGAAAGUAUCAAAUUGUUUGCCUUGAGGAAUGGGUCCCUUUAGAUUAUUUUGAGAAAGGUUUAACACCUCUAAGAAUCCAAGAUUUUUCAACUCUGUUGGAAUUCUUCCUUCCAGCUUAUUUGAUGAGAGAUCUAAUGAUUCAAGCUCUGACAAAUUACCUAAAGAUGAUGGGAUAGGACCCAUUAAACAGUUAUGGGAGAGAUUUAGGACAAUAAGUAAAUGAAGCUCACCAAGUAUUUUUGGAAUUUCUCCCCUGAAUUGGUUACUAGAAAGGUCAAUAACCGUCCAAAUGGAUAAUAGUGAUUCAAACUUUAUUUCCAGCCCUUUUGCUGUAAUAGAUAAACCAUCAGCAUAAUUCAUCUCAAAUAUAAUAAAUUUCUUCAUCUUUACUUCUCUCAUGUAAUUUGGUUCAACUUUCUUUCCAUACUCAUCUCUAAUGGCAUGCAUAUGCUCAAAAAAAGGGGUAGGUAAGUAGCCACUAAAAUUAUUGUGAGAAAGAUCAAUGAUUCGCAAUUUAGUGAAAGGAACUGUAAUAUCAAAGCUCUCUAUUUGUCCGUAAAAUCUAUUCGACCUCAAGAUAAGAACUUGCAGCUGAUCCAAAUUUCCUAACCAACUUGGGAAAGUGUCAUUCAAAUUGUUGUUUCCAACAUUGAGAAGAUUUAACCCUUUGCAAUUACCCAAAGAUCGUGGUAGUGACCCUUCUAAUUCAUUGUUGUCGAUGCGUAAACUUCUCAACAUGCAACCUUUAGCAAAAUUUUCUGGUAUUUGACCAUGAAAAUUAUUAUUCCCUAAAUUAACUGCUAUGAGAGAAGAACUCAAGUUUCCGAUGCACUUUGGAAUUGCUCCCUCCAAAUUAUUCUCAUCUAAAAGCAUAACCAUAAGGGAAGUGAGACUGCAUAUUGAAGAAGGGAUUUCUCCAAUUAAGCUAUUAUUUGAAGCUUCAUACGAUUGCAAUAAAGGUGGUGGUGUUGGAAUUCGACCUUAGAGAUAAAAUUGAAAAUGAGAUAGAAUUAGGAGUUUGAAGAUUCUUUGGAAUAUAAAUUAUAAAAUAACUAUAUUUG